RNAcentral lists this small RNA (557 nucleotides) under Cryptococcus neoformans H99. RNAcentral's name for it is "Cryptococcus neoformans var. grubii H99 hypothetical RNA". The record is from RNAcentral. Lineage: Eukaryota; Fungi; Basidiomycota; Tremellomycetes; Tremellales; Cryptococcaceae.
CACCGUCCCAGACACCUGAGGUAUAAAGCCGUAGAUCUACAACGACUCUUCCUUCUUUCCCAUCCUCAUGGAAGAGUCCCUUCUAUACAGUCCUCGGUUGUCUGGUGGGUGUCUUGUUUUCUCCUUUGUUUCGGUAGUAGACCAUUUACUGACUGGGCAGGAAUAGUGCGUAGAACGAUUGUUAACUCCUGCCCAGGUAUGUUGUCUAUUCCUCAUGGAAGAGUCCCUUCUAUACGGUCCUCGGUUGUCUGUGCAUAGAACGAUUGUUAACUCCUGCCCAGAUUUUGCCAUACAUGCACACCUGUAGACCGUUUGCCGUUCUCUCUUGCCGUGCACACUGAACUUCAACGCCGACUCAACCCAGUAACAUAUUCAGCCGUAGUGAACAAACCUUCUCAAGGUCUGUUACAGACGGAGGUAUAUUCGCUUGGGAAGAUCAGGCAAGCUUAUAUACUAGUGGAGUAAGUUUAUGUCAAAGGUAGUGCAAGGUAAGACGAGGGCGAGCACUGGGAGCUGAAGGACCUUUCGCAAAGUAACUUAUGAAAUAUUGAUCUUUG